UACAGAGGUGGCAAGCGUUGUUCGGAAUUACUGGGCGUAAAGGGCGCGUAGGCGGCCUUCUAAGUCAGACGUGAAAUCCCCCGGCUUAACCUGGGAACUGCGUCUGAUACUGGGAGGCUUGAGUAUGGGAGAGGGAUGUAGAAUUCCAGGUGUAGCGGUGAAAUGCGUAGAUAUCUGGAGGAAUACCGGGGGCGAAGGCGGCAUCCGGGACCAGAACGGACGCUGAGGCGCGAAAGCUAGGGGAGCAAACGGG
RNAcentral lists this ribosomal RNA (253 nucleotides) under uncultured bacterium. RNAcentral describes it as "partial 16S ribosomal RNA". It matches the Rfam family "Bacterial small subunit ribosomal RNA", at positions 524 to 776 of the family's 1533-position model. The record is from RNAcentral.